Molecule: non-coding RNA, 177 nt
Organism: Pimephales promelas (fathead minnow)
Lineage: Eukaryota; Metazoa; Chordata; Actinopteri; Cypriniformes; Leuciscidae
Source: RefSeq, a predicted model, not a curated record
CGCCUUCAGCAUGAAGCGGUUCGCUGCACGCUUCCCCAUCGGAGCUCCGAGGGAAAACAAACCCAAAGUGAUCCUCCUGACAAGUAGGCUACACUGGAUAAAGUUUUGUGAUGACGACGAUUCUGCAGCCAUCCAAGAGGACAUCACUUCAUUUGUACUCAACAUGUUUGUGGUCAC